This 492-nucleotide ribosomal RNA is filed under the name uncultured soil bacterium. RNAcentral's name for it is "bacterial SSU rRNA". It matches the Rfam family "Bacterial small subunit ribosomal RNA", at positions 26 to 511 of the family's 1533-position model. The record is from RNAcentral.
AGAUUGAACGCUGGCGGCAUGCCUUACACAUGCAAGUCGAACGGCAGCACGGGAGCAAUCCUGGUGGCGAGUGGCGAACGGGUGAGUAAUAUAUCGGAACGUGCCCAGUCGUGGGGGAUAACGCAGCGAAAGCUGUGCUAAUACCGCAUACGAUCUAUGGAUGAAAGCGGGGGAUCGCAAGACCUCGCGCGAUUGGAGCGGCCGAUAUCAGAUUAGCUAGUUGGUGGGGUAAAAGCCUACCAAGGCGACGAUCUGUAGCUGGUCUGAGAGGACGACCAGCCACACUGGAACUGAGACACGGUCCAGACUCCUACGGGAGGCAGCAGUGGGGAAUUUUGGACAAUGGGCGCAAGCCUGAUCCAGCAAUGCCGCGUGCAGGAUGAAGGCCUUCGGUUGUAAACUGCUUUUGUACGGAACGAAACGGUUCUCUCUAAUACCAGGGCUAAUGAACGUACCGUAAAGAAUAAGUACACCGGACUAACUACGUGACCG